RNAcentral lists this ribosomal RNA (2144 nucleotides) under Plasmodium falciparum 397.1. RNAcentral's name for it is "SSU rRNA". It matches the Rfam family "Eukaryotic small subunit ribosomal RNA". The record is from RNAcentral. Lineage: Eukaryota; Apicomplexa; Aconoidasida; Haemosporida; Plasmodiidae.
CCUGGUUGAUCUUGCCAGUAGUCAUAUGCUUGUCUCACAGAUUAAGCCAUGCAAGUGAAAGUACAUAUGUAAAUAAUAUAUUGAAACUGCGAACGGCUCAUUAAAACAGUUAUAAUCUACUUGAUGUUUUUAAUAUAAGGAUAACUACGGAAAAUCUGUAGCUAAUACUUGUGAAAAUACCUUUUGAUAUAUACAUAUGUAUGUAUCAUUAAGGUAUGUAUUUGUUAGAUAUAAGAAUAAAAUAAAUAUAAUUGAAUUAUAACAAAGAAGAAACACAUAAAAUAUGUGUAUUAUCAAUCGAGUAUCUGACCUAUCAGCUUUUGAUGUUAGGGUAUUGACCUAACAUGGCUAUGACGGGUAACGGGGAAUUAGAGUUCGAUUCCGGAGAGGGAGCCUGAGAAAUAGCUACCACAUCUAAGGAAGGCAGCAGGCGGCGUAAAUUACCCCAAUUCUAAAAAAGGAGAGGUAGUGACAAGAAAUAACAAUACAAUAUCGAAAAAUGAUUUUGUAAUUGGAAUGAUAGGAAUUUACAAGGUUCCUAGAGAAACAAUUGGAGGGCAAGUCUGGUGCCAGCAGCCGCGGUAAUUCCAGCUCCAAUAGCAUAUAUUAAAAUUGUUGCAGUUAAAACGUUCGUAGUUGAAUAUUAAAGAAUCCGAUGUUUCAUUUAAACUGGUUUGGGAAAACCAAAUAUAUUAUAUAUUUUGCUUUGUUCAAAAUAAGGUUUUCUAAUAAAUUAUGUUUUUAUCAGAUAUGACAGAAUCUUUUUUAAAAUCUCUUCAAUAUGCUUUUAUUGCUUUUGAGAGGUUUUGUUACUUUGAGUAAAAUUAAGUGUUCAUAACAGACGGGUAGUCAUGAUUGAGUUCAUUGUGUUUGAAUACUACAGCAUGGAAUAACAAAUAUGAAUAAGCUAAUUAUUUUUUUUUUUCAUAAUUUUUUUUGAUAUUCUUAUUAGCUUAGUUACGAUUAAUAGGAGUAGCUUUGGGGGCAUUCGUAUUCAGAUGUCAGAGGUGAAAUUCUAAGAUUUUCUGGAGACGGACUACUGCGAAAGCAUUUGCCUAAUCUAUUUCCAUUAAUCAAGAACGAAAGUUAAGGGAGUGAAGACGAUCAGAUACCGUCGUAAUCUUAACCAUAAACUAUACCGACUAGGUGUUGGAUGAAUAUAAAAAAUAUAUAAAUAUGUAGCAUUUCUUAGGGAAUGUUGAUUUUAUAUUAGAAUUGCUUCCUUCAGUACCUUAUGAGAAAUCAAAGUCUUUGGGUUCUGGGGCGAGUAUUCGCGCAAGCGAGAAAGUUAAAAGAAUUGACGGAAGGGCACCACCAGGCGUGGAGCUUGCGGCUUAAUUUGACUCAACACGGGAAAACUCACUAGUUUAAGACAAGAGUAGGAUUGACAGAUUAAUAGCUCUUUCUUGAUUUCUUGGAUGGUGAUGCAUGGCCGUUUUUAGUUCGUGAAUAUGAUUUGUCUGGUUAAUUCCGAUAACGAACGAGAUCUUAACCUGCUAAUUAGCGGUAAGUACACUAUAUUUUUAUUUGAAAUUGAAUAUAGGUAAUUAUACAUGUUUAUUCAGUGUUCAAAUUAGGAUAUUUUUUUUAUUAAAAUAUUCUUUUCCCUGUUCUACUAUAAUAAUUUGUUUUUUUUUACUCUAUUUCUCUCUUCUUUUAAGAAUGUACUUGUUUGAUUAAAUAAAGCUUCUUAGAGGAACAGUGUGUAUCUAACACAAGGAAGUUUAAGGCAACAACAGGUCUGUGAUGUCCUUAGAUAAACUAGGCUGCACGCGUGCUACAAUGAUAUAUAUAACAAGUUGUUAAAAAUGUACUUAUAAAUAAGUGUGUACAGUUUUUCCUGUACUGAAAAGUAUAGGUAAUCUUUAUCAGUAUAUAUCGUAAUUGGGAUAGAUUAUUGCAAUUAUUAAUCUUGAACGAGGAAUGCCUAGUAAGCAUGAUUCAUUAGAUUGUGCUGACUACGUCCCUGCCCUUUGUACACACCGCCCGUCGCUCCUACCGAUUGAAAGAUAUGAUAAAUUGUUUGGAUAUGAAUUAAAAUAAUGAAAUUUUAUAUUUCUGAUUUUUUCUAGAAGAACUGUAAAUCCUAUCUUUUAAAGGAAGGAGAAGUCGUAACAAGGUUUCCGUAGGUGAACCUGCGGAAG